Lonchura striata (white-rumped munia) is the source of this 393-nucleotide non-coding RNA. Lineage: Eukaryota; Metazoa; Chordata; Aves; Passeriformes; Estrildidae. The record is from RefSeq and is a predicted model, not a curated record.
CGCUCGGGUUGUAUCAGUCCUGUGCUCUCCACCUGUGAAAGGGACAGCCAAGGACCUUUUGAAGAGCAGCACAGUGUGAAACCCAACUGGAGAGAUGAUUAGCAAUUACAGUGUGGCUGGCUUAGGUGCAGAAGGAGCUACUAGAAAGAAGGUAAUUUGGAAUAGGAAGCAGGGCACAGCCCUCAUGAUCAAGAACAACACCUGAUGCUCUGGGAAACAGUGAAAGCUGCCAGUGCGUAACCUAAAUACGGUUCAUGGGCUGUGGCACGGAGCAGAAGGACUCAGCUACAGAUCUUUGCCUCCAUGGAAAGUCACAUAAGGAGCACGCAGGCAUCACCUCAAACACCCUGCAACCCCAAGUGAUGGUAAUUAAUAAACCGUAAUUGUUUCCAA